AAAUUGAAGAGUUUGAUCAUGGCUCAGAUUGAACGCUGGCGGCAGGCCUAACACAUGCAAGUCGAACGGUAACAGGAAGCAGCUUGCUGCUUCGCUGACGAGUGGCGGACGGGUGAGUAAUGUCUGGGAAACUGCCUGAUGGAGGGGGAUAACUACUGGAAACGGUGGCUAAUACCGCAUAACGUCGCAAGACCAAAGAGGGGGACUUUCGGGCCUCUUGCCAUCAGAUGUGCCCAGAUGGGAUUAGCUAGUUGGUGAGGUAACGGCUCACCAAGGCGACGAUCCCUAGCUGGUCUGAGAGGAUGACCAGCCACACUGGAACUGAGACACGGUCCAGACUCCUACGGGAGGCAGCAGUGGGGAAUAUUGCACAAUGGGCGCAAGCCUGAUGCAGCCAUGCCGCGUGUAUGAAGAAGGCCUUCGGGUUGUAAAGUACUUUCAGCGGGGAGGAAGGUGUUGUGGUUAAUAACC
Molecule: ribosomal RNA, 471 nt
Filed under: Salmonella enterica subsp. enterica serovar Muenchen
Lineage: Bacteria; Pseudomonadati; Pseudomonadota; Gammaproteobacteria; Enterobacterales; Enterobacteriaceae
Description: bacterial SSU rRNA
Rfam family: Bacterial small subunit ribosomal RNA
Source: RNAcentral